This 59-nucleotide microRNA precursor is filed under the name Bos taurus (domestic cattle). RNAcentral's name for it is "Bta-Mir-3957_pre stem-loop". The record is from RNAcentral. Lineage: Eukaryota; Metazoa; Chordata; Mammalia; Artiodactyla; Bovidae.
CUCGGAGAGUGCAGCUGUGGGUGUCAGGGUCAGGCACACGCACAGCACCUCACUGAGCU